This 527-nucleotide unclassified non-coding RNA is filed under the name Homo sapiens (human). RNAcentral's name for it is "magnesium dependent phosphatase 1 (ENSG00000285200.2)". Lineage: Eukaryota; Metazoa; Chordata; Mammalia; Primates; Hominidae. The record is from RNAcentral.
GGGCCAAGACGUCCGACUGUACCCAGAGGUGCCUGAGGUCCUAAAACGAUUGCAGAGCCUUGGGGUGCCCGGUGCGGCUGCUUCAAGGACAAGUGAGAUAGAAGGGGCCAACCAGCUACUGGAGCUCUUUGACCUCUUCAGGUACUUUGUUCAUCGGGAAAUCUAUCCAGGCAGCAAGAUCACACACUUUGAGAGGUUGCAGCAGAAGACUGGAAUUCCUUUCUCCCAGAUGAUCUUCUUUGAUGAUGAGAGGCGGAAUAUUGUAGACGUCAGCAAACUGGGUACUGAGUGAUGAGGAACAGCCAUUUGGGGUCCCUAGGAGGGAUUAGGUGUUACCUGCAUUCACAUCCAGAAUGGAAUGAAUCUUCAAACUCUAAGUCAAGGGUUAGAGACAUUUGCGAAGGCCCAAACUGGGCCUUUGAGGUCCAGCCUUGAGGAGAGCCCAUUUGAGGCCUAAACUGAAAGGAAAUCAAGAAGGCAUUUUCAGGUGCAUUUGUAAUUUAUUAAAGUUCAUCUGUGUGUGACAG